CAGCCGUUGGGAGAUGCGAGGGAGGCUAUCAUUUCAUGCUUAUCCAGUCGGAGCAGCCAGCAGCUGCGAGUCUGGGACCAACACUCCUGGGAGGCACGGACAGGACAGACAGCUCCGGGUGGGUGACUGCCCAGUCCUUUCUUUUCUCCAUCUCUUCGCCUUGUCCUGCGCGUCCAAUUCUGAAGUCCCGUUUGAAACGCGAAAAGCUUCAGGAAUCAUAUACUACGAGUGAAAGCUAGUUCGCGUGAAAUUAAUUCUUGUGAAGCAAAUAAGUGGAGUAGUCCUUAUUCUAUCUAUUCCAAACCAGAGGCCUUUCGACUGGUUCAGAGCUUCAUGCUGCUCGCGGUUAUCAGGAUCGCAGCCGUUCCUUUCUGCCAUGAGUAGAACUUAUAGUAAGGAUCGUUCUCGGUUGAUGUGGCCUGCAUUCGGUAUACGGAAUACCUUUUCUGAGUACCAAAUCGAUGCAUAUUAAUGAAUUGAUUCUCCCAUUUCAUGAUCUGGCUCCAUGGGUUUAUACUGUAGGAACUGCUAGUUUUCUGUAUCCGUCCAUGCCGUAAUCCCGUCCUUUUGUGUAAACGCCUUGAUUAUUGUGCAAUCCGAGCCUGCCAUACGAGCUGAUAAAAUUAUUCAAGCUAAGGGAGAGCAGGUGUUUUAACUUACUAAACUACAAGGAUCACGUCAGAGAAAUUGGUGCGAGGCUUGCUAUGGCUCAACCUGAGGUCGUAGACGUCCAUCGUGUGAAAGACUCUGAGGCCGUCGUCGGCCCGGUCCAUGAUGCAGGCAAGCUGAUGUCGCCGGGGGCAAUGCCAUUCGCCACCAUAAGGUUGAACACAUCCAGUGCCUCGACGCCAUGGCCGUGGCCCUUAUAAGCCUGGAUCAUUGAACUGUACGUAGAUGGCUAUGGAGCGUGUACGUGCAGCAGUUCCCAACGAGCGCUUGGCUAUUGAGCUCAAUGGCAAAGGUGAGGGGAUGGGGAAGGCGGUCGGGGCGAGGAGCGAUCGCAGAGUCGCAAUUUCGGUCAAAAAAAGAAGUGAACACGGUGUCACAAUCCCACAGAACUGGAUCAAGGCAUGGAGCAGGAUGAACUGUCCGUCCGAAGGGCAAGGCUCAAUGUACAAUUGGAAGCUUUCUGAAAAGAAAAAAAAAGUUGGAGGCCACGAACUGAACAACGUCAAGCAUUUUGGCGCCUGAUCUAGCCCCUCAAAGUUUGAGGCUCCCCAUUACAGAGUAUCUGAACAAGCACUCACUCUUAUUCCCAAACCUGGCCUUUCAGAACUGAAAGAACACCAGUGACACACGGUAAAAGCUUCUUAACACUCACAGACCACGUUUACAAAGCUCCAUGGAAUGAUUGCCGAGAUCUUGCCCACCAAUCCACAUCGCUGAAACGUCCACAUAAUAUAUUACUACUAGAAAAU
Phragmites australis (common reed) is the source of this 1418-nucleotide long non-coding RNA. RefSeq lists it as uncharacterized. NCBI's taxonomy places the organism in Eukaryota, Viridiplantae, Streptophyta, Magnoliopsida, Poales, Poaceae. The record is from RefSeq and is a predicted model, not a curated record. The transcript is spliced from 3 exons.